RNA transcript from Peromyscus maniculatus bairdii (prairie deer mouse), 3481 nucleotides. It is a transcript of the gene named RNA-binding protein PNO1 pseudogene, with no coding region annotated. NCBI's taxonomy places the organism in Eukaryota, Metazoa, Chordata, Mammalia, Rodentia, Cricetidae. The record is from RefSeq and is a predicted model, not a curated record.
GGUGUGGUCUUGUUGGAAGAAGUAUGUCCCUGGGGGGAUUUGAAGUUUCAAAAGCCUACAGCAGACCUGGCGUCUUUCUCCCUCUACCUAGGGAUCAGGAUGUAGCUCUCAACUACUUUUCCAGUUCCAUGCCUGCCAUGCCUGCUGCCAUGCUCCCCACCAUGAAGAUGAUGGGCUAACCCUCUGAAACUGUAAGCCAGCCCCAAUUCAAUGCUUUCCUUUAUAAGAGUUGCCUUCGUCACGGUGUCUCUUCACAGCAACAGAACAGUGACCAGGACAGGGUCUCCCUAUGUAGCCCUGGCUGCUUUGGAACUUGUUAUGCCGACUAGACCUCAAGCGCACAAUGAUCCACCUGUCUCUGCUUCCUGAGUGCUGAGAUUAAAGGGAUGCACCACCAUUGCCCACUCAAAUACAACAUUUUUAAAGGCAUAAAAGGGAGGGCCCGGAGGCUGGGUGGCAUGUUGGGACAUGCCCCUACUGUGACACAGGGCUCUCUUCUGGGAACAAGACCCAAGGGAGCUUGUGGUCCCGUUUCUGGUGCUGGUCAGCUUCCCUCGGAACUAGCACUCUGCGUUGCCAGCCUGCUUCCCCCACUUUAUCCUUGAUCUGUGCGGUGGGCCUCAGCCAGAGGAGUGGCUGUCCUGGGAAGGACGCCCAGAACUGUGAAUGGGAAAUCAUACCAGUCUCACAUUUAACAUGGCUUUAUUUCCUAAGGCAAGAAAAUGCAAAAGACAUUUGUGUGGUCAAGAUUUCUCCAGAAGCAGGGUGAGGUGACCUGUGAGGAUGGGUCACUACUCUCUAAACCCAGAAAGUCUAUAAAAUCAUGCAAAUCGAGAAGGUCAUGUCUUCAUGUGAAACUGCCCAGGCUGUCAAGGGUAUGCAUAUCCCAAAACCCACCAUCUCAAAGAUGGCACUUUAAAGAAGGAGGAUUGGCUGUCCACGCUCAGCUGGUCAAGUGCUUGCUUAGCACGCUUGCAGCUCUGGGGUCAGUCCUCAGCACCACAUACACUUGGCAUGGUGUCACAUGCCUGUAAGCCCAGCACUCAGGAGGUAGAGGCAGAAGAGUUAAGAAUUCACGGUCGAGUAACAUGGCCAAGAUGGAGACACAAAACUCCGGGACGGAGGACGGCUUUUCUCCCCGUCACGCACAGAGGGGGCCAGAGGGCGAAGAAGGACAGGCGGAGCAGCGGGACAGGAUGGAGACACCAGCUGCCGCAUGGACACGGAGGAGGCGCGACCUGGCGAAGAGGCCGGUCUUCCCUCCGCUCUCGGGCAAGCGGCUCCUGACUGGGAAAGAAGAAACGAGAAAGAUUCCUGUCCCCGGUAACAGAUACACACCAUUAAAAGAAAACUGGAUGAAGGUAUUUACUCCAAUAGUAGAACAUUUGGGACUUCAGAUACACUUUAACCUGAAAUCAAGGAAUGUAGAAAUCAGCACUUGUAAAGACACCAAGGAUGUCAAAAGCGGCCGACUUUGUGAAAGCCUUUGUUCUUGGGUUUCAGGUGGAGGAUGCGCUUGCCCGUAUCAGGCUGGAUGGCCUCCUCCUAGAGUCUUCUGAAAUAACCAACGUUACGCCCCUAAAAGGAGACCACCUGUCAAGGGCAAUACGAAGAAUUGCUGGCAAAGGAGGAAAAACCAAAUUUACAAUAGAGAAUGUGACACGGACACGGAUUGUUUUGGCAGAUGUGAAAGUUCACAUUCUCAGCCCUUUCCAGAACAUCAAGAUGUUGAGAACUGCCAUUUGCAACCUCAUCCUAGGAAAUCCUCCAUCAAAAGUGUACAGCAAUGUCUGAGCUGUGGCCGGCAGAUCAGCGGACCGAUUCUGAUUCCCCUCCAACCCUUGAGAUAUUCACAUAAAACCAUGGGAAUAUUUCCUAGCCACCUACAGGUCGGGUUCCUUUUCAGGUCUCAGCCAGAGCAGAAGCAGAAGGGAAGGUUUAACCGGACUUGGCACUCCUGCUUCUAGGAUAAUUUAAACAUCAAAAUGUAAUACUUUUAAUACUUCACACAUGAAGCGUAAAUUGCUGUAUUUUUCACUUUAAUCACAUGUGGCAGAUUCACAGUUUAAAAUCUUGUCAUUUAGAGAUGACUUCGUAAGACAGAUUUAUAACUAAACUAAGCAUUUUUUCCUCUGAAAUUUUUAAGGAAAAUCUCAGAAGACCUGAGAAUCACAAUCCUUGGUACUGAGCCCCGUGACUACUUCAGGGAUGGGUCAUAGCACUAAUCUGUGCUAUGGAACCUUAGGUGCUCGUCUGUGUGCAACUUAUGAAAGGAAAGCCUGCAUCACAAGGCUAAUGAAUUGCUUUUUAAGGAAGUAAUGAAAGUAAAACCGUUUUCCCAAGAAAACUAUGUUUUCCAAAUAGUAUAUUCUUAGAACUAGUGUCUGUGUAUAUGAAUUUGCUUAUUUCGUACAUUGUUUAGAACCUACUUCAUUAAACAUGUGAUUAAGAUACUACAUUCUCUUGUUUCUCAAAGGCCUUGACCAAACUAUUGUGAUGAUUGGAGUAUCAGGAAAUCCAUGCAAUAACUAAAAGAAGUAGUACUUUAAAAAAAAUUAACUUAAAAAUAAAAAGAAUUCAAGGUCAUGUAGCCUCAAGACGCUGAGGCGCUUCGGUCAGGAGCACCUGCCUGUGCCCUGCCAGGAGACCUGUGUUCCAGCUGUGCCCUCAACACCCAAGGAGGACAGUGGCAGAGCCUGUGCCAUGAGGCCUGGCUAGGGCACUCCUGUGCUUCUUAAGUAGAAGCUGUCGGUAUGAUAGGUGCUCGGGAUAUGGAUGGCUGCCAGGCAGACACAGAGGAUGAGGAGGAGAGCACAGAGACUGUGAUCAUCAAUGUGCUGGAUGCUGAGGGGUGAGAAGGGGUCACCUGUGUCCACAUUUUGGGAAUUACAGGUGUCAAAGUGAAAGACCCAAGGACUCUGGGAGAGGGCCAUCCAUGCGGCAGAAAGUCAAGUGCAAGUGCCCAGAGCUGAGGGGUAGGAGUGGGGCAUAGCCUGGGCAGCAGAGACCAGUGCCUCCUUCUCCCUGUGGAAGGCUCCUCCUUUGACAGACAGGACACUGGGAGGAGUGGAGGGAGGGGACACUCUGGUCAGGAUGUACUGAAAACAAAAGAAAUACUAAUAAUUUAAAAAGUAUGUGUGUGUGUGUGUGUGCAUGAAUUUAGGUGCCCCACAAGUGUGCAGAAGGCCCUGAAGGCCAGAAGAGAGCAGCAGAUCCCCUGGAAUUACAGGUGAUUAUGAGCUCUCAUGUCAGUGCUGGGAACUAAACUCAGGUCCUCUGUGAGAGCAGUAACUGCUCCUAACCACCAAGCCAUCUCUCCAGCUCCUUUUUCUGACUCUUAAGGUAGCUCCUCUUCGUGUUUUAACGUGAAGUCUCUUGUGCUGGCUAGUCUUCUGUCAACAUGGCACAAGCUAGAGUCAUCAGAGAGGAGGAAGCCUCAACUGAGAAAACGCCUUCAUAAGAUCAGACUGUAGGCAAGCCU